AGCAUUUCGUUUGCCUUGAUCCUGGAGGCGGCCUUCUCCCAUUGCCGAGGAUUUGAAGCGAACUCCUGGCAGAUCAGAAAUGUUCAGGCGAACGGCGGUUAUAUUUGUCUGUGGACCCAAGACUUCGUUGACGGGCAAAUAUGUCAGAUUUUCUUGUUUUUUAUUUGUGGCAUCUUAUUGUAAGACCGUGACAUAUUUUGCCGUUUUCUCUAGGGAACCCUGCAACAAGGACUGUAGUGUGAAUAGCGUGCUGCGCUGCUCUCGCCAACUGAAAAGAACUCUGGUAAGAUGCAUGCUUGGUUAUGAAAGUCUCACGCAAUCGCUUUUCACAUUGAAUUUGGUCGCAGGUGUGCUGUAAAUGCCGACUGCACAAUAUGUGACUGGCCCGCGGCUGCUUUGAAGGUAAGAUUGUGUUCUCAUUAAUCUAUUUAUUGUACCAUUUGUUUUCCAGUGACAUAGCCAACAACGAAAACCUCGAUCCAUCCUCUCUCCACAUAUUAUCUAGUUUGUGCGCUGUGGAGCUUGAAGCACUUCUCGGAAUUUCAGCACACUCGCAUUUAUUUUUUUCCCGACAGAAGAAAAAUGCAAGUCUAACAU
Rhipicephalus sanguineus (brown dog tick) is the source of this 597-nucleotide long non-coding RNA. RefSeq lists it as uncharacterized. The transcript has 3 exons. The record is from RefSeq and is a predicted model, not a curated record. Lineage: Eukaryota; Metazoa; Arthropoda; Arachnida; Ixodida; Ixodidae.